Non-coding RNA from Oncorhynchus mykiss (rainbow trout), 7640 nucleotides. NCBI's taxonomy places the organism in Eukaryota, Metazoa, Chordata, Actinopteri, Salmoniformes, Salmonidae. The record is from RefSeq and is a predicted model, not a curated record.
UCCAGUACAUAGGAGGCACGCCCGAGCACGCAGUUCCUCCCCUGCACGCUACCGCAGGUCUCCACUUCGCAGCACGUCUCCCCCCCAUCCCCGUGCACCCAGGGGCCCUGCCACCAGGGGUCUCAGAGGACCUCGUAGAGCAGCAGGCCCCAAGAAGUCCUUCCCUUAUGCAGGGAGCCCAUGUGAGGGAUGCAGGUUUCCAGCAGCCAACAGUGGCUUCCAGGCUGAGAGUGGGUCAGUACCCACAGAAGGAGGCCUCUGUGCCCUGGAUACCCACGUCACCUCACUCUCCUCCUAUACAACAACAACAGUGAAGAGACCAGAGCCUCGAUGUCUCUUCUCCCCUCUGAAGCCCUCCUCAGGCACCUCAGAGCAGCAGCUGAGUGGUGUGGUGACAGCAGAGCAGGACUAUUGUCUGACCUGUGAUAGACAGAGACAUGCCCACAACGAAGCCCUCACAUGGGAGCUGCUGCCUCUCAGACCCGGGACAGAAAGGCCACAUCGUCACUGAGGCAUCGGCUGUCUGAGCAGGCUACAGACAGAGCUGCAGAGUGCACUGAGGUGCUGAGUGAGGCCCUGCUAGAGAAGCUGCUGGCUGAUGCAGUGCUGGCCACCUGGGUGGCGGAGACAGACAGAUGGAGGGUUUGGCCCAGCGCCAGCUCCAGGCCCCCACCCUGGAGAGCAUGCUGCUACGCAUGGAGGAGAUGGAGGUGAGCCCUGAGCAUGGCCCUAAGGAAAGACCACCACACAAAGGUCACAGGGAGUUUGAAAGGGCACCGCUAGUUAGUUUGUCAUGCAAGGCCUGUGUGAUGUUUGACAGCCUUGGUCAAGCUGUACUAUGGGGAUACAGUGAAUACACUGUCCAGUCCUGUCCGGAUUUGUAUUAUUGUUUGGCUGAAAAAUGUAUUUAAAUAAUAUACUUAUUUUAUCAUCUAUGUGUCUGAGCAGAAAGACCAGGAAGUUGUGAGGAGGCACUUUUCUACCAUCACGUACUCAGACCCUCACUACUGGGACAAAGGGGACACAACUGGGGAGUAAACAGGCAGUUUACAUGAGGGUUUGAAUUGUUGUUCCUCUGGUGCACUGCAGGUGGAGGUAUUGUCUUAGUGCUGUUUCAGCCAGUUGAGAGCAAGGCUAUCCCUCUUCCUAACUCUCCUUUUCCACCCCUCUUUCUCCCAUCCCCAUCUCUCUCUCAAGGCCCUAGAGGCCUGCUCCAGGCCAGUCUCUCCUCAGCCCGUCAGGAUUACCGGGCCAACACUGAGACACACCACCACGUCUGACAUUGUCCUGGAGAGCCCUGUGGAGACCGGGUGUUUUUUCAUCUGGUGUUGCCAAAGCGCUCUUUUCUCUGAAUAAUCCUAUGCACAGAAUUCAAUAGAACAUUGUGUAUUGUUACAGUAUCUGUAUAUUAAUAUGUUUGUUUUGUAGUAAUCACCAUGCAAUACUGCAGCCACCAUCUUAGAGAAAGCUUCAAGCCCUGUCUGAGUUUAAUGGGUUGAUGUAUGGACAGAUGGUUUGAGAAACAGAUAUAUAUUAAUAAGGAAUAAAUUACAUUAUAUACUGGGUGGUUCUAGCCCUGAAUGCUGAUUUGUCUGACAGCCGUGGUAUAUCAGACCAUACACCACGGGUAUGACAAAUAAUUUAUUUUUACGGCUGUAAUUACAUUGGUAACCACUAUAAUAGCAAUAAGGCACCUCAGGGGUUUGUGGUAUAUGGCCAAUAUACCAUGGCCAAGGGCUGUAUCCAGGCACUCUGCGUUGCGUCAUGCAUAGCCCUUAGCAGUGGUAUAUUGGCCAUAUACCAUUAUUGCUUAAUUAUACAUUUAUAAUUUGUUGAUGUUGCAGAUUGUAGUUAAUGGUUAUGAGAUGCUAUACUGGGUGAUGGGACUUCUGCAGUCUCCUCUAAAUGGGAAUUAAUUACAGAGGGUAAUGGUGUAUGACAUCACUUAACCUGCUGUAUUAGAUGUACCUUAUCAGGCAGGAACUCAUAAAGGACAAUAUAACGAGACAAAACUGAUGCAGAACAUUGAUCCCCUAAAUUUAAGACUGUGAGAAAGUGCCCAACAAAAUCACUGUCCCAAAAACUGUCAAUUACUUUAUUUUGCAGUUGACGUCCACUCCAGACGAUCAACAAAACGGAUAGAGGUGGAACGUUGUUUAUGCCUUUCCCAGAAUGCACUGCUUUGUUGUGCCUCAAUUCUGGCUGUUCUUCUCCACCCCUAAUCUCUCCAGGCUGCGAUGAGACCAAACCUAACCCCCUUCAAACCCUAACCCCCCCCACCUCACCCUCUGGCAAGACAUAAAGGGAGUGCAUCAGUGUGCCUCUGCCUCCCUCCCCUGCCCAGAGGUUUAGCUGUAGCUGCCAUUGCUUGAAGAAGAAGGAGGGGAGAGAAAUGAGAGCCAACGGCUGACAGGGGAAGUAAGUUGUUGAGAGUGGAGCAGAGCGGACAUGCCAGCAUGAUGCAGUGAAAACAUAUUCAAGCAGCUGCACCAUUAGCAUAUUAAAGACAGUGUAGUUCACUGUUCCUGGACCUUCUGGAGGGGCUCAGACCAACUCUUCUGUGACUCAUCUCUCACUCUGUCCGUUUGCUUUUACCUAUCCACCUGUAACCUAUUUCUGUCUCUAAAGACCAGCAGAAACUACAACCACUAGCUCUUUGCUGUCUAUUUUGUGGGUUGGGAGGAAGAUGUGGUCAACCCAAAUUCCAUUCAUAGCGCAGGUUAUGACUUUGCCUAGUUAUUUCAUAUGGUUUAUGAGUAAAACAACACUAGCAGAACUAACUGACCAUGGCUUUCUUGAUUCUGCAUUGGUAUUGAUUGGCCAGAUAGCUUUACUUCUACCCCUGUGUUGUAGAUACUAGCUACCUGUAUCCUCCUGCCUCUAUGAAGAGAGCAUUAGACUCACCCAGGAAAGUCUGCCUCUGUGUCUUCCUCCCUCUCACAGCCCAGUGAAUUACACAGUCCAAUGGGACUUCUCACCCCUGUCUGACUGGCAGGUAAUUUCAUUGGUGUGUUAGACAAGGAAAAUGAAAAUGGCCUGAGCCUCUGACAGGAUUCCGAUAAAAAGACUAGCAGAGUGCGUCAUGAAAAUUCUCUCCCUUGUAUUUCCCUUGCUUUGCCCCCAGUAGCUGUAUAAAUGAGAUAAUGUGUAACUAACUGUCUGACCGAAUAUGAAGCCAGGUAUUUUUUUGUAUCGAUGAGUGCACUCGUGUGAAAGCACAACACAAUGAUUGUAUGUUGUGUCCCUGAGAAUGCCGGGCAAGUUUUCAUCGCAUUCUCUCUCAUUUGCAAAGCAAUAGGGAUUGAUUCUAAAUUCCACAUGGAUAUUGUCUCAUCCCCUACAAGCACACAGAGCAUGUUCAGGAGUUCUUCCCUCCAGUCUUUCUAUUAUCCUUGAUUACGUGGAGAAAAUUAGUCAGCCAAACACUCAGGGCUGAAAAUGAUAGAUUUUUGUGUGCCAACACACAGGGAGUAUUUUCUUCCCAGUAUGUUUCCCUAAAGGCCUGUGUUCUGAGCGCUAAGCUUCAAAGGGUUGACAAAGAUACAGGUGCCAAUAGAGAUUGAUUCCAUACUAAACCAGGACAAAAAAAGACUAUGAUUUGGGGAAUUUUCACUAAAUGUAAUCCAUCGAAUGGUCCUUUGGAUGAAAGAUUGUUUACAUGUAUUUGACAUUUGUAUUUAAAAGCAUAGUUGAGAAAUAAUAAAUUUUGGCCUUACCUUUAAGACUCCACAAUGCAGCAGUCACCAACCCAGGCCUUACCUUUAAGACUCCAUAAAGCAGUGGUCACCAACCUUUUCCUCGCAGUCAAAUAGCAAGCCAAAAUCUACCGCUCAGAUUUGUUUUUGUUGGUGUAGCACUUUCAAGGCACAGCUGAGUAUAAAUUGAAAUAAUUAGCAAAUAAUUUGCUAUUUUAUUUUUUAUUUUACAUGGUGCUUUCAAGACAACUGGGAAAUCAGGAAAAAACGAGGUCAAAUCAUGACAUCAGUGAUCUUCCAGUCGUAAAGUCGGAACUCUAGAAAGAUGUCCAAGUUUUCUACUUGGAAUUCUCGUUUUUCCCUGAGUUUCCAGUUGUUUUAAACGCACUGAAGUUGGAAGUCUGAGAUUUCCGAGUUCCCAGUGGUUUUGAACGCGGCAUUAGUCUCAGCGGAGGGAGGGAGAGAGCAGCAGAGGGUUCAUCUCACGGUCCCUGUUCUCUUCUUUCUUUCCUCCGGUAGGAGACUGACCAGAGAGAGGGGACAUGUCUUCCACCUGAUGACUAAAUUAAAGUCAAACCGCAUCUGCGUCGUGCACAAAUUCAUGUUCCUAUGAUCAGAGAAAGUUAAAUAUUCCUUUAUAUUAAAAUAGACACGAUGAACUGCUAAUAAUAAUACAAACGCAUGGCUAUCCAUAUACUGUAUUUAGAUACUCAUGUAUUGCAGCUGAAGCUCGAGUGGAAGUAGGGAGUAGAUCGUUUAAUGUUUUGUAAUAGUGCAAAAUAAAAACGAACAUGAACUCGCUCAUAAAAACAGAAGCUCUUUGUUGUCUCUGCUCAUGGUUUUGAAAGUUGUGAAAUCUCACAUAGGCUAGUAUCAAAUUUUACGUGGCCGGGGUUGUGGAAGCUGUAGUGAUUUGAGCUAUCAAAUUAGCCAGCGCAGUAGGCGCACUCGAUUUAGCGACAGAUCUCCCAGUUUAGCCUCAGCUCUCUCUCGGCGGAGUUUGUCUUUUCAGACAAAUUAAAUGGUUCAAAAUGGGAACACUUUACCUACCCGGUGCACAGGGCUUCUGAAUCAAGUGCACCUACUGCAAAACAGCGCAACAUGAAUAAUAUUAAAAAGGGAGUGCAAGCCUUUAUCGUUGGCUGUUCUACAGAAAUGUUUGGUGAUCGACUAGACGGCCUUGAAGAUCAAUCAGUCGAUCGACCGGUUGGUGACCACUGCCAUUUAAUCUGUAGGUGUUUAGAGCAAAAAUGGGUGUUUUAUGAAGCUUUACUGCUUGCUCUGUGUGUCACAACGCCUGGAGUGGUGGGUGUGGAGUCAAACGCAGAGGAUACUGAGCAAACCGGACUUUAUUUCGUUUUCCAAUGCUAACGCCCAAAACAACAGGCGAAAUAAUCACAAAAAUGUCCAACCCAACACAGGGCACAAACGGACAAGAACUACACGCACAACCUCGACUAACAGAAAACAAGCUCGCACAAAAACAGGCGGGCCUAACAGGCUUAAAUAGUCCUGAAUAAAAAACAAAAUAAGAGACAGGUGCAGCCAAUAAGACAAAACAAACAGAAAAGGUAAACGGCAUCGGUGGCAGCUUGUAGACCGGCGACGAGGACCGCCGUCCGAACAGGCAGGCGAGCCACCUUCGGUGGGAGUCGUGACACUGUGAUAUGAGUAGUAUUUUAGUUUCAAUACACUUUUUUUUACAUUCAUGUAUGAAUAUUGAAAACUAUAAACAUGAAUAUUGGGAAAACCUUUUAUUUUUUUUAUUGUUGCAAAUGUUUCUGCUGGUGAUUAGCAGGAUGUGCAAUGAUACAAGUAAAAGGAGGGCUGUAAUUGGUUACAUUACUAUGCCAAUUUUGCUGUAUAAAAUUGUCCAUAACUUUAAAUCUACCAGAGAUCCCACUCUGGAACUUUGAGAUGCCCGUAGAGUAUAUUAUGUUCAACGAUAUAUUGAAAGAUAAGCCAAAUAUUUGUUAUUAUUUUUCAAAACUCAUGUUUUUAUUUGUGAAUAUUCAUACAUUAUUGUAAACAAUGUUUUUUUUUUUACUGAAAUCAAGUACUACAGAGCAGCGGUAAAGCUUCAUAUGACGCCAAGUCAUAUGGAGUCUUAAAGGAGCCUGGGUAAGGCCAAAAUCUAAUAAAUAUGCCAACUUUGAAUCAUUCUUUCCCAAUUAAAUCAGAUGUGUAGUGCUAGGGCAAAAACUCCAGGCCCAAGUUUGGGAAAACCUGCUCUAAAGGACCAUUAUAUGGAUACAAUUUUGUGAAAAUCCCCAAAAUCAUGGUAUUUUUUGGUUCUGGUUUCAUAUGGAAUCACUCUAGAGUGGUUUGUGUGUCUGGCUCACUGAUUCUUCUCUUGGUGAGAUAGUGUUUGUCUUGGGACAUCUUGACAUAUCAAAGAUACACAAUUAUAUUUCUACAUUUUUAUCCUCAUGUGCCACAUCUAGGCAGAAAUGGUUGCUGAGUGCACAUCUCUAGUACUGCACUGCCAGCACUAAAAUGCAUAUUUCUCUGGAGGGUCCUCUGUCAGCCCUCGUAGUCCUGUUGUCGUUUUUCAUCAAGAUCACAUCCGUUCUUUAUAUGUCAGAAGUGUUGUUCAGAGCGGAGGUGAUUAUUAUUCCGUCUCAAGUGAAGCCCUUCUGAUAACAAGAGCACACUAUUGCCUGUUGGAUGGCUCAUAUAGGAAUGACAUUUCUCAGAUUGCUUUCUGUCUGUCUGCAACCAGCCCUCCCUCCUCAGAUCAGAAGAGAUGAACAGGAGCACAGGCUAAUUCUAUUACCAAAGUGUAGCUCCUAGCUUCAAAAUGAAGAUUAUUCCCAUAUGUCUGGUGUUGUAUUCUCAUUUAUUUUUUAUUACAUUCCCAACUCCAGGAAGUAGAGCCACUGAAAUGUUAUAGGUUGAAAUAUAGCCUAUCCAUCAUAUUAUAAUGGCCACUUCGAUGCCAGGCAAUACACAAUCAAUAGUGAAAGGAAAUAAUGGACCAGAUGAUGGUACGUAACUAAAUGAUGUACUGCCUCAUCAAAGUUAUCUGUAGCUCUGUGGUGCUUUGUCUCUGGUUGUCCUUAUGCUUCUCCACAUGUCAUUCAUUCAUUUGGCCAGGUCUCCCUUGUAAAAGAGGUCUUCUGACCUCAAUGGGACUUCCUUGAUUAAAAAAAUACUGAGGUGGAGCUCUGGGCCGUAGUAUAACACAGUGCAAAGAGCUAUAGGCUAGUUAUAGACACAGUUAUGCUCAAUUACUACUCAUGCAUACUUAUUGUGAUAAAGUUCAAACUCCAUCAGGUUUCUGCGUAAGAGAUUGUUAGUGGAAAAGUGGUAAACUGAUGAUAAAUCUAGAGAGAGGGAGAGAGUUAUUGCUAUCAUUAGGUUAAUGAAAUUAUGUUCUCACUCUUUUUAUAGGGCAAUUCACCACAGGAAGAUUUACAGUGUGUUUAAAGCGCUUGGAAGAAAUCCCAUUUAGAAUGUCAGACAGUCACUAGAGGGGGCUAGUUAUUCUAUAAGGCCUGAAUGGAAAGUGAUAGCUAAUCCGUGUGUGUGUGUGUGUGGACAGUUGUUGUUGUAGGGUAGAAUGUAUGAAAACAGUGAUUAAUGCUGUGGGUUUGGGAAGCGGAGAGUGGGCACAGCUGCCUAUUAGUGUGCAGAGCUCAAUAUGUUGUGUGUGUUGUCUAAGCUUGUGAUUACCUGUGUUUACAACCAACAAUGCUCAGCACAGGGAGAGGGAGUCAGCAGGCCCUUCCACUGCAGACAACACAAACACACACCAGGGAUUGGCUGCAUAGCCAUAUCUCAUAGCUUAUGAAAGUAAUGCACACAUCAUUCAGUAUGCCAAUCACUCACGCACAAAAGGCAUAUUUCACUCAAAUGUUGUGCACAAAUUUGUUAACAUCGCUGUCAGUGAGCAUUUCUCCUUUGCCAAGAUAAUCCAUCCACCUGACAGGUGUGGCAUAUCAA